Molecule: ribosomal RNA, 468 nt
Filed under: uncultured bacterium
Lineage: Bacteria
Description: partial 16S ribosomal RNA
Rfam family: Bacterial small subunit ribosomal RNA
Source: RNAcentral
GAUGAACGCUGGCGGCGUGCUUAAUACAUGCAAGUCGAACGGAAAGGCCCUGCUUUUGUGGGUUGCUCGAUUGGCGCACGGGUGAGUAACACGUGUGUAACCUGCCCUUGUCUUUGGGAUAACUUCAGGAAACUGGGGCUAAUACCGGAUAGGAUCUCCUGCUCCAUGGUGUGGGUUGGAAAGUUUCGGCGGUUGGGGAUGGACUCGCGGGUUAUCAGCUUGUUUGUGGAGUAGUGGCGUACCAAGGUUUUGACGGGUAGCCGGCCUGAGAGGGUAACCAGCGACAUGGGGACUAAGGUACGGCGCAGACGCCUACGGGAGGCAGCAGGGGGGAAUAUUGCGCAAUGGGCGGAAGCCUGAUACAGAAACGCCGCGUGCGGGAUGACGGCCUUCGGGUUGUAAACCGAUUUGGCCUGAGACGAAGCGUGAGUGACGGUAAUGGGUAAAGAAGCAACGGCUAACUACGUG